RNAcentral lists this ribosomal RNA (253 nucleotides) under uncultured Oscillospira sp. Its description in RNAcentral is "partial 16S ribosomal RNA". It matches the Rfam family "Bacterial small subunit ribosomal RNA", at positions 524 to 776 of the family's 1533-position model. Lineage: Bacteria; Bacillati; Bacillota; Clostridia; Eubacteriales; Oscillospiraceae. The record is from RNAcentral.
UACGUAGGUGGCAAGCGUUAUCCGGAUUUACUGGGCGUAAAGGGCGUGUAGGCGGGAGAGCAAGUCAGACGUGAAAUUCCAGGGCUCAACCCUGGAACUGCGUUUGAAACUGUUCUUCUUGAGUGAUGGAGAGGCAGGCGGAAUUCCGUGUGUAGCGGUGAAAUGCGUAGAGAUUAGGAAGAACACCAGUGGCGAAGGCGGUUCUCUGGACUGUAACUGACGCUGAGGCUCGAAAGCGUGGGGAGCAAACAGG